UAAGGAUAUCAGAAAGUUCCUGGAUGGUAUUUACGUCUCGGAGAAGGGCACUGUAGUGGAGCCGGAGUCGUAGAGAACACGUGAGCUGCUCUGAUCCAGCAGGCCACCACUGUGAGAAA
Long non-coding RNA from Sinocyclocheilus grahami, 119 nucleotides. RefSeq lists it as uncharacterized. The transcript is spliced from 2 exons. Lineage: Eukaryota; Metazoa; Chordata; Actinopteri; Cypriniformes; Cyprinidae. The record is from RefSeq and is a predicted model, not a curated record.